This 224-nucleotide ribosomal RNA is filed under the name Escherichia coli. Its description in RNAcentral is "partial 16S ribosomal RNA". It matches the Rfam family "Bacterial small subunit ribosomal RNA", at positions 1 to 219 of the family's 1533-position model. The record is from RNAcentral. Lineage: Bacteria; Pseudomonadati; Pseudomonadota; Gammaproteobacteria; Enterobacterales; Enterobacteriaceae.
UUAAAUUGAAGAGUUUGAUCAUGGCUCAGAUUGAACGCUGGCGGCAGGCCUAACACAUGCAAGUCGAACGGUAACAGGAAACAGCUUGCUGUUUCGCUGACGAGUGGCGGACGGGUGAGUAAUGUCUGGGAAACUGCCUGAUGGAGGGGGAUAACUACUGGAAACGGUAGCUAAUACCGCAUAACGUCGCAAGACCAAAGAGGGGGACCUUCGGGCCUCUUGCC